Molecule: small nuclear RNA, 98 nt
Organism: Rattus norvegicus (Norway rat)
Lineage: Eukaryota; Metazoa; Chordata; Mammalia; Rodentia; Muridae
Source: Ensembl
GUGCUCAAUUUAGCAGCACACGAACUAAAAUUGAAACAGUACAGAGACUAGCAUGGCCCCUACAGUGACAAGCAAUCUGUGAAGCACCCCGUAUUUUU